GACGAACGCUGGCGGCGUGCUUAUCACAUGCAAGUCGAACGGAAAGGCCCUGCUUUUGUGGGGUGCUCGAGUGGCGAACGGGUGAGUAACACGUGAGUAACCUGCCCUUGACUUUGGGAUAACUUCAGGAAACUGGGGCUAAUACCGGAUAGGAGCUCCUGCUGCAUGGUGGGGGUUGGAAAGUUUCGGCGGUUGGGGAUGGACUCGCGGCUUAUCAGCUUGUUGGUGGGGUAGUGGCUUACCAAGGCUUUGACGGGUAGCCGGCCUGAGAGGGUGACCGGCCACAUUGGGACUGAGAUACGGCCCAGACUCCUACGGGAGGCAGCAGUGGGGAAUAUUGCACAAUGGGCGGAAGCCUGAUGCAGCAACGCCGCGUGCGGGAUGACGGCCUUCGGGUUGUAAACCGCUUUCGCCUGUGACGAAGCGUGAGUGACGGUAAUGGGUAAAGAAGCACCGGCUAACUACGUGCCAGCAGCCGCGGUGAUACGUAGGGUGCGAGCGUUGUCCGGAUUUAUUGGGCGUAAAGGGCUCGUAGGUGGUUGAUCGCGUCGGAAGUGUAAUCUUGGGGCUUAACCCUGAGCGUGCUUUCGAUACGGGUUGACUUGAGGAAGGUAGGGGAGAAUGGAAUUCCUGGUGGAGCGGUGGAAUGCGCAGAUAUCAGGAGGAACACCAGUGGCGAAGGCGGUUCUCUGGGCCUUUCCUGACGCUGAGGAGCGAAAGCGUGGGGAGCGAACAGGCUUAGAUACCCUGGUAGUCCACGCUGUAAACGGUGGGUACUAGGUGUGGGGUCCAUUCCACGGGUUCCGUGCCGUAGCUAACGCUUUAAGUACCCCGCCUGGGGAGUACGGCCGCAAGGCUGAAACUCAAAGGAAUUGACGGGGCCCCGCACAAGCGGCGGAGCAUGCGGAUUAAUUCGAUGCAACGCGUAGAACCUUACCUGGGUUUGACAUGGAUCGGGAGUGCUCAGAGAUGGGUGUGCCUCUUUUGGGGUCGGUUCACAGGUGGUGCAUGGCUGUCGUCAGCUCGUGUCGUGAGAUGUUGGGUUAAGUCCCGCAACGAGCGCAACCCUUGUUCACUGUUGCCAGCACGUUAUGGUGGGGACUCAGUGGAGACCGCCGGGGUCAACUCGGAGGAAGGUGGGGAUGACGUCAAGUCAUCAUGCCCCUUAUGUCCAGGGCUUCACGCAUGCUACAAUGGCUGGUACAGAGAGUGGCGAGCCUGUGAGGGUGAGCGAAUCUCGGAAAGCCGGUCUCAGUUCGGAUUGGGGUCUGCAACUCGACCUCAUGAAGUCGGAGUCGCUAGUAAUCGCAGAUCAGCAACGCUGCGGUGAAUACGUUCCCGGGGCUUGUACACACCGCCCG
This 1361-nucleotide ribosomal RNA is filed under the name uncultured organism. RNAcentral describes it as "16S ribosomal RNA". It matches the Rfam family "Bacterial small subunit ribosomal RNA", at positions 28 to 1396 of the family's 1533-position model. The record is from RNAcentral.